UGGGGAAUUUUGCACAAUGGGGGGAACCUUGAUGCAGCGACGCCGCGUGAGGGAUGGAGGCCUUCGGGUUGUGAACCUCUUUCGCUCGUGUGCAAGCCGCUAUUUGGGUAGUGGUGAGUGUAGCGGGUAAAGAAGCGCCGGCUAACUACGUGCCAGCAGCCGCGGCAAUACGUAGGGCGCGAGCGUUGUCCGGAUUUAUUGGGCGUAAAGGGCUUGUAGGCGGUUUGUCGCGCCUGUCGUGUAAUCCUCUGGCUUAACUGGGGGUGUGCGGUGGGUACGGGCAAGCUUGAGUGCGGUAGGGGAGGUUGGAAUUCCUGGUGUAGCGGUGGAAUGCGCAGAUAUCAGGAGGAACACCGGUGGCGAGGGCGGGUCUCUGGGCCGUUACUGACGCUGAGGAGCGAAAGCGUGGGGAGCGAACAGG
RNAcentral lists this ribosomal RNA (421 nucleotides) under Fusobacteriota bacterium. RNAcentral's name for it is "Fusobacteria bacterium partial 16S ribosomal RNA". It matches the Rfam family "Bacterial small subunit ribosomal RNA", at positions 355 to 776 of the family's 1533-position model. Lineage: Bacteria; Fusobacteriati; Fusobacteriota. The record is from RNAcentral.